GACGAACGCUGGCGGCGUGCCUAAUACAUGCAAGUAGAACGCUGAAGGAGGAGCUUGCUUCUCUGGAUGAGUUGCGAACGGGUGAGUAACGCGUAGGUAACCUGCCUGGUAGCGGGGGAUAACUAUUGGAAACGAUAGCUAAUACCGCAUAAGAGUAGAUGUUGCAUGACAUUUGCUUAAAAGGUGCAAUUGCAUCACUACCAGAUGGACCUGCGUUGUAUUAGCUAGUUGGUGAGGUAACGGCUCACCAAGGCAACGAUACAUAGCCGACCUGAGAGGGUGAUCGGCCACACUGGGACUGAGACACGGCCCAGACUCCUACGGGAGGCAGCAGUAGGGAAUCUUCGGCAAUGGACGGAAGUCUGACCGAGCAACGCCGCGUGAGUGAAGAAGGGUUUCGGAUCGUAAAGCUCUGUUGUAAGAGAAGAAAGAGUGUGAGAGUGGAAAGUUCACACUGUGACGGUAUCUUACCAGAAAGGGACGGCUAACUACGUG
This 495-nucleotide ribosomal RNA is filed under the name uncultured bacterium. RNAcentral describes it as "partial 16S ribosomal RNA". It matches the Rfam family "Bacterial small subunit ribosomal RNA", at positions 28 to 507 of the family's 1533-position model. The record is from RNAcentral.